This 497-nucleotide ribosomal RNA is filed under the name uncultured bacterium. RNAcentral's name for it is "partial 16S ribosomal RNA". It matches the Rfam family "Bacterial small subunit ribosomal RNA", at positions 28 to 507 of the family's 1533-position model. The record is from RNAcentral.
GAUGAACGCUGGCGGCGUGCCUAAUACAUGCAAGUCGAGCGAACGGACGAGAAGCUUGCUUCUCUGAUGUUAGCGGCGGACGGGUGAGUAACACGUGGAUAACCUACCUAUAAGACUGGGAUAACUUGGGGAAACCGGAGCUAAUACCGGAUAAUAUUUUGAACCGCAUGGUUCAAAAGUGAAAGACGGUCUUGCUGUCACUUAUAGAUGGAUCCGCGCUGCAUUAGCUAGUUGGUAAGGUAACGGCUUACCAAGGUAACGAUGCAUAGCCGACCUGAGAGGGUGAUCGGCCACACUGGAACUGAGACACGGUCCAGACUCCUACGGGAGGCAGCAGUAGGGAAUCUUCCGCAAUAGGCGAAAGCCUGACGGAGCAACGCCGCGUGAGUGAUGAAGGUCUUCGGAUCGUAAAACUCUGUUAUUAGGGAUGAACAUAUGUGUAAGUAACUGUGCACAUCUUGACGGUACCUAAUCAGAAAGCCACGGCUAACUACGUG